Long non-coding RNA from Ictalurus punctatus (channel catfish), 1847 nucleotides. NCBI's taxonomy places the organism in Eukaryota, Metazoa, Chordata, Actinopteri, Siluriformes, Ictaluridae. The record is from Ensembl.
CUUAAAGGGAAGAAUUCUUCAAGGGCAGAAAUAAAUGUUUGUGCAGACAAAUAUUGACCGAAUUAAAUAACCGCCUUUAUACCACCGUGCUAUUGAAUUCCCCAUUCUGAUUGGUCAGAAGUCGAUUGAUUUACUGUAAGAGCACUGAGAAGAAUUGUCUCUAACUGCAGGUUUACAUUUACGCAAUAACUCAAACAGGAGUGCUGUUUUACUAAAUAUCAACACACACAAAUGAGUGGACCGGAACUAACUAUUGUGUAAUAAACAUUUUAGUACCUUAUCGUUUCUGUAGUAACUCUGUAGUACAGUGUCUCACAGAACAACAUUAAAUAUACAGUAUAUAUGAAUAUACAGUAGUGCUUGGAGAAUUUUCUAUACUUCUGCAUAAAUAUGGCCUAAAACAUCAUCAGAUUUUCACACAAGUCAAACAACCCAGUUAAACAAAUGAGACAAAAAUAUUAUACUUGGUCAGUAUUACAUAUCUGUGAGGGGCAAAAGUAUGUGAACCUUUGCUUUGAAUGAAUAAAUGUGGAAUGCUAGAGGAUUCCUUUGAAAAGUAUUUUUCAGACAUCAGAAUUUUUUUUUUUUUUUUUUUUAAAUCACAUAUCCGGAUGCACAACCUACGGUCUCGUCCCUAUACAAGAAUCACUUUGCACAUUCUUUAACAGUAUAGUGCUUUGGAGAAACAAGGCCCAGCUAUGUUUUUUUUAUUUUUAUUUUUAUACCUGAUUAAGGUGAAAUGAAAUAGAUACCGACAGUAAACAGCUCUCAGUUCGGGUCCUGGCGGUCUCGUAAACAUACUUUUUUGGGUAUUUUUUUUUUUUAUUAUCCAGAGUUCUAUGAUUCACUUGAUAAAGGGCUUGUUGGAUUUAGUGGCUCAGGCAUGUGAAAAUCUGAGUGCAUUGAAAACUGCUGCUUUUAUCCGUUUCUACUCGGUGACUAGCAAAAUAAUAAUAAUAAUAAUAAUGAAAAAGGAAUAAUUAAAGGGGUGAGAAAAGAGUAUGGCUGCUCAGCUUCUUAUGGCAUGGUGAUCACGAAAGAAAAGAAAAAAAGGCAAUCUGUGCACUCUGCUACGUAAAUAUAAGGUGCUUUGGGUAUUUGUAUACUAUCUCUGAAAUGCAUUCAUGUUUUCAUUUGAUUUUUUUUUUUUUUUUUUUUUGUAAGCCAAUUAAAUACCUAUAUUUAUUUACUAGAGGUGUGCAUGUUUUCAUCAUUUUUUUCCAUGCUUGGUGUAGUUGAUGGACUAGUCAUCAAUCAAACCCCCCUUCUUUUUUUUUUGUGCCAUAGUUUUCCAUGAAUUCUCAUUUGGGAUCAGACCAGCCUACAAAUGCCUCACCUCGCUCAUGUGAAAGCAAAAAUGAGAUUUUUACUUGUGGCUGAAGCGGCAAGAUAUUCCCAUUUGCUUUGGGUAACGCUACAAAUGUAGGCCUACUUUAGGUUAUUUUUACGAAUCAGCCAUAUAUCCCCAUCACCAUCAACCGAUGCUAACGACGUAAACAUAACUUAGGGCAUUAAUAAGUAGAUAUGGCUAAAAGAUUGUGGACACCUGACCUGUACAUGGGCCGUCCCCAAACUUUUGCCACAAAUGUAGAGGCACCAUAUUGUAUAGGAUGUAUUCGUAUGCUGUACCAUUAGGAUUUCCCUUCACUGGAACUAAGAGAUACAAACCUGUUCCAGCAUGACGAUGCUCCUGUACACAAAUCGAGCUCCAUGAAGACGUGGUUUGUUAAGGGUGGACUGGAAGGACUCGAGUAUCCUGCACAGAACCCUGACCCUAACCUUAUUGAACACCUUUGGGAUGAACUGCACCCCAGACCUCCUCACCCGACAUCAGUACCUGAUCUCAC